CCCUUAGAUGUCCUGGGCCGCACGCGCGUUACACUGAUGCAUUCAACGAGCUUAUAACCUUGGCCGAGAGGCCUGGGCAAUCUUGUUAACGCGCAUCGUGAUAGGGAUAGAUUAUUGAAAUUAUUAAUCUUGAACGAGGAAUUCCUAGUAAACGCAGAUCAUCAAUCUGCAUUGAUUACGUCCCUGCCCUUUGUACACACCGCCCGUCGCACCUACCGAUUGGAUGGUCCGGUGAAGCCUCGGGAUUGUGGUUCUUGCCGCUUUAUUGUGGCGUGACCGCGAGAACUUGUCUAAACCUUAUCAUCUAGAGGAAGGUGAAGUCGUANCA
RNAcentral lists this ribosomal RNA (328 nucleotides) under uncultured eukaryote. Its description in RNAcentral is "partial 18S ribosomal RNA". It matches the Rfam family "Eukaryotic small subunit ribosomal RNA", at positions 1470 to 1796 of the family's 1831-position model. The record is from RNAcentral.